RNAcentral lists this ribosomal RNA (497 nucleotides) under uncultured bacterium. RNAcentral describes it as "partial 16S ribosomal RNA". It matches the Rfam family "Bacterial small subunit ribosomal RNA", at positions 28 to 507 of the family's 1533-position model. The record is from RNAcentral.
GAUGAACGCUGGCGGCGUGCCUAAUACAUGCAAGUCGAGCGAACAGACGAGGAGCUUGCUCCUCUGACGUUAGCGGCGGACGGGUGAGUAACACGUGGAUAACCUACCUAUAAGACUGGGAUAACUUCGGGAAACCGGAGCUAAUACCGGAUAACAUGUUGAACCGCAUGGUUCAACAGUGAAAGACGGUCUUGCUGUCACUUAUAGAUGGAUCCGCGCCGCUUUAGCUAGUUGGUAAGGUAACGGCUUACCAAGGCAACGAUGCGUAGCCGACCUGAGAGGGUGAUCGGCCACACUGGAACUGAGACACGGUCCAGACUCCUACGGGAGGCAGCAGUAGGGAAUCUUCCGCAAUGGGCGAAAGCCUGACGGAGCAACGCCGCGUGAGUGAAGAAGGUCUUCGGAUCGUAAAACUCUGUUAUUAGGGAAGAACAAAUGUGUAAGUAACUAUGCACGUCUUGACGGUACCUAAUCAGAAAGCCACGGCUAACUACGUG